UACGAAGGGGCUAGCGUUGUUCGGAAUUACUGGGCGUAAAGCGAGUGUAGGUGGUUGUCCAAGUUGGAUGUGAAAGCCCAGGGCUCAACCCCUGGAAUUUGCCUUUGAUACUGGCGAUCUUGAGUACGGGAGAGGUGUGUGGAACUCCGAGUGUAGAGGUGAAAUUUCGUAGAUAUUCGGAAGAACACCAGUGGCGAAGGCGACACACUGGCCCCGUUACUG
Molecule: ribosomal RNA, 222 nt
Filed under: uncultured bacterium
Lineage: Bacteria
Description: partial 16S ribosomal RNA
Rfam family: Bacterial small subunit ribosomal RNA
Source: RNAcentral